RNAcentral lists this ribosomal RNA (406 nucleotides) under bacterium enrichment culture clone ALO1_GLFRUDD03FW4IY. Its description in RNAcentral is "bacterial SSU rRNA". It matches the Rfam family "Bacterial small subunit ribosomal RNA", at positions 9 to 416 of the family's 1533-position model. The record is from RNAcentral.
GAGUUUGAUCAUGGUCAGAUUGAACGCUGGCGGCAUGCCUUACACAUGCAAGUCGAACGGCAGCACGGGAGCUUGCUCCUGGUGGCGAGUGGCGAACGGGUGAGUAAUGCAUCGGAACGUAUCCUGGAGUGGGGGAUAACGUAGCGAAAGUUACGCUAAUACCGCAUAUUCUGUGAGCAGGAAAGCGGGGGACCUUCGGGCCUCGCGCUCUUGGAGCGGCCGAUGUCGGAUUAGCUAGUUGGUGAGGUAAAGGCUCACCAAGGCGACGAUCCGUAGCAGGUCUGAGAGGAUGAUCUGCCACACUGGAACUGAGACACGGUCCAGACUCCUACGGGAGGCAGCAGUGGGGAAUUUUGGACAAUGGGGGCAACCCUGAUCCAGCCAUGCCGCGUGAGUGAAGAAGGCC